RNAcentral lists this ribosomal RNA (435 nucleotides) under uncultured Lachnospiraceae bacterium. RNAcentral's name for it is "partial 16S ribosomal RNA". It matches the Rfam family "Bacterial small subunit ribosomal RNA", at positions 341 to 792 of the family's 1533-position model. Lineage: Bacteria; Bacillati; Bacillota; Clostridia; Lachnospirales; Lachnospiraceae. RNAcentral also lists the same sequence under 1 other name. The record is from RNAcentral.
ACGGAAGGCAGCAGUAGGGAAUAUUGCACAAUGGGGGAAACCCUGAUGCAGCGACGCCGCGUGAGUGAUUGAAGUAUUUCGGUAUGUAAAGCUCUAUCAGCAGGGAAGAUAAUGACGGUACCUGACUAAGAAGCCCCGGCUAACUACGUGCCAGCAGCCGCGGUAAUACGUAGGGGGCAAGCGUUAUCCGGAUUUACUGGGUGUAAAGGGAGUGUAGGUGGUCUGGUAAGUCAGAUGUGAAAGCCCGCGGCUCAACUGCGGGACUGCAUUUGAAACUAUCAGACUAGAGUGCAGGAGAGGAAAGUGGAAUUCCUAGUGUAGCGGUGAAAUGCGUAGAUAUUAGGAAGAACACCAGUGGCGAAGGCGGCUUUCUGGACUGUAACUGACACUGAGGCUCGAAAGCGUGGGGAGCAAACAGGAUUAGAUACCCUGGUA